Molecule: long non-coding RNA, 601 nt
Filed under: Olea europaea (common olive)
Lineage: Eukaryota; Viridiplantae; Streptophyta; Magnoliopsida; Lamiales; Oleaceae
Description: long non-coding RNA (OEUR_LNC007559)
Source: RNAcentral
AAUUUCUCAGUUUGGAGCUGCUAAAAUUCAUUUGAUUUUUUUAUCUGUACAACUCAUUUAAGAUGACGUGCUUUUGAUUCUGAUGCCUGGAAUUUACUAUUAUUAGUAUUGAUCAUUUAGUCUCAUUGCUACUUGGAUACUAGUGCAGUAGUUUUUGGCAUCCAGUAUGCUUGUUUGCUAUUUUUAUAUUCUGUUUCAUUGCACUUUCCCUCUUUUCACGAAUUUAAUUUCAAAUGGUUGUACCUGUACAUGCUAUAAUUCAUUUGAUUUUUUUAUCUGUACAACUCAUUUAAGAUGACGUGCUUUUGAUUCUGAUGCCUGGAAUUUACUAUUAUUAGUAUUGAUCAUUUAGUCUCAUUGCUACUUGGAUACUAGUGCAGUAGUUUUUGGCAUCCAGUAUGCUUGUUUGCUAUUUUUAUAUUCUGUUUCAUUGCACUUUCCCUCUUUUCACGAAUUUAAUUUCAAAUGGUUGUACCUGUACAUAGAAGAUUGUUCGCUAUUCACUUGCUCGCACUUGGAUAACCUGGCAUUGAGUUUUGGAGACUAGUAUAAUUCGAUAAUAUGACACAUUUGGAGAAAUAGUGGAAGGGGAAAAUACUAG